This 460-nucleotide ribosomal RNA is filed under the name uncultured bacterium. RNAcentral describes it as "partial 16S ribosomal RNA". It matches the Rfam family "Bacterial small subunit ribosomal RNA", at positions 338 to 795 of the family's 1533-position model. The record is from RNAcentral.
CCUACGGGAGGCUGCAGUGAGGAAUAUUGGUCAAUGGGCGAGAGCCUGAACCAGCCAAGUCGCGUGAGUGAUUAAGGCCCUAUGGGUCGUAAACCUCUUUUGUCAGGGCGCAAGUUCGUCUACGUUCUGGCGUAUGGACAGUACCUGAAGUGAAAGCAGCGGCAAACUCAGUGCAAGAGGCCGCGGUAAUACGGGGGAUGAGAGGGUUAUCCGGAGUUGUUGGGUUAAAGGGGUGCGUGGGGGGUACCUAAAGUAAGCGGUAAAGUUGAGGUGCUAACUGCUGUAGAGCCGUUGAAACUAGGAGACUUGAGUGACAGAGAGGUAUGCGGAAUACGCGGUGUAGCGGUGAAAUGCGUAGAUAUCGGGCAGAACACCGAUGGCGAAGGCAACAAACCGGCGCUACACUGACGCUGAGGCACGAAAGUACGGGUAUCGAACAGGAUUAGAUACCCGUGUAGUC